Papaver somniferum (opium poppy) is the source of this 238-nucleotide long non-coding RNA. RefSeq lists it as uncharacterized. The transcript has 3 exons. NCBI's taxonomy places the organism in Eukaryota, Viridiplantae, Streptophyta, Magnoliopsida, Ranunculales, Papaveraceae. The record is from RefSeq and is a predicted model, not a curated record.
GACAGUUGAAAGUUCGGCACAUGAGUUUUUAGGGAAGGACAACUCAACCACUCUCUCGGCUAGUGUGAACUUUGUUGAUCUGGCGGGAAGCGAACGUGCAUCUCAAGCAUUAUCAGCUGGUACGAGACUGAAAGAAGGUUGCCACAUAAAUCGCAGUUUGCUUACUCUAGGAACGGUUAUUCGCAAGCUAAGCAAUGGAAGAAAUGGACAUGUUCCUUACAGAGAUUCUAAGCUUACA